CUGGGCGCAAGAGGCGAAAGGUCCCUGCUGGCGAAGAAAGAGCUUGGCAGAAAGCUGGCUCCAAGUUGAAUGAAGAGAUCUCUAGUGAUUCUGAACCAGAUGUCCCAGCAAAUAAAA
Molecule: long non-coding RNA, 117 nt
Organism: Protobothrops mucrosquamatus (brown spotted pit viper)
Lineage: Eukaryota; Metazoa; Chordata; Lepidosauria; Squamata; Viperidae
Exons: 3
Source: RefSeq, a predicted model, not a curated record